RNAcentral lists this ribosomal RNA (274 nucleotides) under uncultured bacterium. RNAcentral's name for it is "partial 16S ribosomal RNA". It matches the Rfam family "Bacterial small subunit ribosomal RNA", at positions 523 to 796 of the family's 1533-position model. The record is from RNAcentral.
AUACGAAUGCCCCUAGCGUUAUACGGAUUCACUGGGCGUAAAGCGUCCGCAGGGGGCCUGGUAAGUUACAUGUAAAAGCCCGGAGCUCAACUUCGGUUAUGCAUGUAAUACUGCUAGGCUAGAGGCCGGGAGAGGCGCGUGGAAUUCCCGGUGUAGCGGUAAAAUGCGUUGAUAUCGGGAGGAACACCAAAAGCGAAGGCAGCGCGCUGGAACGGUCCUGACCCUCAGGGACGAAAGCGUGGGGAGCGAAUGGGAUUAGAAACCCUAGUAGUCC